Molecule: unclassified non-coding RNA, 209 nt
Filed under: soil metagenome
Description: partial contains 5.8S ribosomal RNA, internal transcribed spacer 2, and large subunit ribosomal RNA
Source: RNAcentral
AACAUCGCGCACCUGCGGGAACCUGCGGAAGGAUCAUUACCGAGCUAUACAACUCAUCAACCCUGUGAACAUACCUAAAACGUUGCCUCGGCGGGAACAGACGGCCCCGUAACACGGGCCGCCCCCGCCAGAGGACCCCCUAACUCUGUUUCUAUAAUGUUUUUUCUGAGUAAACAAGCAAAUAAAUCAAAACUUUCAACAAUGGAUCU